CAGUAGCCGCGGGAAAACGGAGGGUGCAAGCGUUAUCCGGAUUUAUUGGGUUUAAAGGGUCCGUAGGCGGAUCUGUAAGUCAGUGGUGAAAUCUCACAGCUUAACUGUGAAACUGCCAUUGAUACUGCAGGUCUUGAGUAAAUUUGAAGUGGCUGGAAUAAGUAGUGUAGCGGUGAAAUGCAUAGAUAUUACUUAGAACACCAAUUGCGAAGGCAGGUCACUAAGAUUUAACUGACGCUGAUGGACGAAAGCGUGGGGAGCGAACAGGAUUAGAUACCCCUGUAGUCCCUGUCUCUUAUAU
RNAcentral lists this ribosomal RNA (301 nucleotides) under uncultured bacterium. RNAcentral's name for it is "partial 16S ribosomal RNA". It matches the Rfam family "Bacterial small subunit ribosomal RNA", at positions 509 to 809 of the family's 1533-position model. The record is from RNAcentral.